AGCAAUGACGUAAAAAAUACGCCAAUUACUGUUUGUUGAUUGGCCAUCGACAAAAUGUUUUAUGUAUUAGGUCAUGCAUAAAACAUUUUUUGCAUUCCCAGAAUUCCCUACGAUUUGAGCAAGAAAAUGACGAAAAUGGCGGUUGUAUGAACUGCGACUUUGAAAUUUUUCAAUUACGAACAAGGACACACUUUUCUUUUAAGUGAAUUUCUAUUAUAAUAGAAGUUUGUCAAGUACAUCUCAGUGAAGCAGAAAAUCUUCAGGCGAACAUUGACAUCGGAGUGAUACCCUAUGAUAUCAAGAAAAAUCCUAUGGAACCAAGAAGCAGAUAAUGACCACAGAGGUGCAACAGAGACUACCAGUACCUGAUCAUCGUAUGUUAUGGUGUAGAUCUCAGGAACAGGACACCUAAGUUGAACUCUGGCAAGGUUGUCCCAAGCUGCAUGGUUUGAUACCCAGGCUUCUUUUGUACAAGUCCCUAGUCCACCCUCAUCUUGAGAUCUGUUCCGGUGUCUGGGAUCCCUACAACAUCUAAGAUGUCCAGGACGCUACUUCACAAUGGGGACCACAAGAGAACCAGCAGUUUGACUGAGAUGAUCAGCACCUUUUAGUUGCCUACUAUAUCUACAACUACAAGGCACUCUGCAAGAAGACUGGGAAUGGUGCAUAAGAUAGUCAAUGGUCUCUCCGCUCUCCCUUGAAAAUUUUCCCACUGCACUACUUAUAGCUACUUGCGCCCUCUAUAUAGCAAACAAUGCCUAAUCGGUGACUGUUGGUCCCCCAUGAUCCCCUUUUUCUUAUAUUAAUUGAGAGCUGAUAUGAUGAGAUAACCACCUGUCAGUGACCUUGCAAGGUGGUCUAAUCCCCCUGGUCAAACUAGUACAGACGGGCUUUAACAAAUCACGAGCAGGAAGUACCAUGACAUGACCCUCCA
Molecule: long non-coding RNA, 934 nt
Organism: Strongylocentrotus purpuratus (purple sea urchin)
Lineage: Eukaryota; Metazoa; Echinodermata; Echinoidea; Camarodonta; Strongylocentrotidae
Exons: 3
Source: RefSeq, a predicted model, not a curated record